UUUUGUUACUUUGAGUAAAUUAGAGUGUUCAAAGCAAACAGUUAAAGCAUUUUACUGCGUUUGAAUACUACAGCAUGGAAUAACAAAAUUGAACAAGUCAAAACUCUGUUCCUUUUUCUUAUUUUGGCUUAGUUACGAUUAAUAGGAGUAGCUUGGGGGCAUUUGUAUUCAGAUGUCAGAGGUGAAAUUCUUAGAUUUUCUGGAGACAAACAACUGCGAAAGCAUUUGCCUAAAAUACUUCCAUUAAUCAAGAACGAAAGUUAAGGGAGUGAAGACGAUCAGAUACCGUCGUAAUCUUAACCAUAAACUAUGCCGACUAGGUUUUGGAUGAAAGAUUUUUAAAUAAGAAAAUUCCUUUUGGAAAUUUCUUAGAUUGCUUCCUUCAGUACCUUAUGAGAAAUCAAAGUCUUUGGGUUCUGGGGCGAGUAUUCGCGCAAGCGAGAAAGUUAAAAGAAUUGACGGAAGGGCACCACCAGGCGUGGAGCUUGCGGCUUAAUUUGACUCAACACGGGGAAACUCACUAGUUUAAGACAAGAGUAGGAUUGACAGAUUAAUAGCUCUUUCUUGAUUUCUUGGAUGGUGAUGCAUGGCCGUUUUUAGUUCGUGAAUAUGAUUUGUCUGGUUAAUUCCGAUAACGAACGAGAUCUUAACCUGCUAAUUAGCGGCGAAUACGUUAUAUUCCUACUUGAAAUUGAAUAUAGCUGAAUUUGCUUAUUUUGAAGAAUA
This 726-nucleotide ribosomal RNA is filed under the name Plasmodium ovale wallikeri. RNAcentral describes it as "SSU rRNA". It matches the Rfam family "Eukaryotic small subunit ribosomal RNA", at positions 747 to 1421 of the family's 1831-position model. The record is from RNAcentral. Lineage: Eukaryota; Apicomplexa; Aconoidasida; Haemosporida; Plasmodiidae.